This 606-nucleotide ribosomal RNA is filed under the name Trichoderma atroviride. RNAcentral describes it as "partial large subunit ribosomal RNA". It matches the Rfam family "Eukaryotic large subunit ribosomal RNA", at positions 33 to 662 of the family's 3401-position model. The record is from RNAcentral. Lineage: Eukaryota; Fungi; Ascomycota; Sordariomycetes; Hypocreales; Hypocreaceae.
UUUAAGCAUAUCAAUAAGCGGAGGAAAAGAAACCAACAGGGAUUGCCCCAGUAACGGCGAGUGAAGCGGCAACAGCUCAAAUUUGAAAUCUGGCCCCUAGGGUCCGAGUUGUAAUUUGUAGAGGAUGCUUUUGGUGAGGUGCCGCCCGAGUUCCCUGGAACGGGACGCCGCAGAGGGUGAGAGCCCCGUCUGGCUGGCCACCGAGCCUCUGUAAAGCUCCUUCGACGAGUCGAGUAGUUUGGGAAUGCUGCUCAAAAUGGGAGGUAUAUGUCUUCUAAAGCUAAAUAUUGGCCAGAGACCGAUAGCGCACAAGUAGAGUGAUCGAAAGAUGAAAAGCACCUUGAAAAGAGGGUUAAACAGUACGUGAAAUUGUUGAAAGGGAAGCGCUUGUGACCAGACUUGGGCGCGGCGGAUCAUCCGGGGUUCUCCCCGGUGCACUUCGCCGUGUUCAGGCCAGCAUCAGUUCGGCGCGGGGGAAAAAGGCUUCGGGAACGUGGCUCCUCCGGGAGUGUUAUAGCCCGUUGCAUAAUACCCUGCGCUGGACUGAGGACCGCGCAUCUGCAAGGAUGCUGGCGUAAUGGUCACCAGCGACCCGUCUUGAAACAC